GUCGGGAAUGUGUAAUUCCAUUUGUUUCUGUUUUUUUAUUUUCUAUUUCGCUUUGUUUGUGUUAUAACUGCAUUCUAUUUUUAUUUUUUUUUUAUUUUUCUUUCCUUUCCUUAAUGUUUCUGCAUGUAUUUUGACCUUUUUUCAUUAUUAUUUUUUUUCUUCUUCAGAUUUAUCAUAUUGAAACCGUGACACUAAUUUACUAUUGUUGAGCUAUGAGGGAUGAUCAGAAACUGUAAUUAUGAAUGAAAAAAGGGGGCAUUUUUACUGUCAGCUUGGGUUGAGCAGUUUUUCA
Molecule: long non-coding RNA, 292 nt
Filed under: Mytilus galloprovincialis (Mediterranean mussel)
Lineage: Eukaryota; Metazoa; Mollusca; Bivalvia; Mytilida; Mytilidae
Source: RNAcentral